UUGGGUAUCCAUAUUUGAUGGAUAUAUCUAUCCGUACUAAAAUUGAGCUUUGCUACACUUAAACCCCUCAAAAACCUUACCCCCAUUAGCAAUGGCGGUUUCUUCCUUUCUAUCGCCAUUCCCUUUGCUUCCAUUUUCUGUUCCCUUUGCUUUCUCCCCAAAGUGUCAGUCGGUGGCGGCGCCAAUCAAUCUUGUGUUUCAGAGCUUCUCUGCUGUAGCACAGAGACCAGUGCUCGCGAAAGCUGUCUCCGCUAAUACGACAUGGGAAAGCCUCGACACUGUCAACAUUGCCGAUGAUGUGACUCAGUUGAUUGGAAGUACACCCAUGGUAUAUCUCAACAAAGUAACAGAAGGUUGUUUGGGAAAUGUUGCUGCAAAACUCGAAUCAAUGCAACCAUGCCGAAGUGUCAAAGACAGAAUUGGUUACAGUAUGAUAUCCAGUGCCGAGGAGAGUGGUGUGAUUUCUCCAGAUAAGACCAUAUUAGUUGAACCAACAACUGGGAAUACGGGACUUGGCAUAGCUUUCGUUGCUGCAGCAAAAGGGUACAAACUUGUAGCCACCAUGCCUGCAUCCAUAAAUGUUGAAAGGAGGGUCCUACUACGUGCUUUUGGUGCAGAAAUUGUUUUGACAGACCCAGAGAAAGGCCUCCAAGGGGCUAUUGCCAAAGCUGAAGAAAUUCUAAUUAGUACUCCCAACGCUUACAUGCUUCAACAGUUUGAUAAUAGUGCUAAUACAAAGGUACAUUUUGAAACUACAGGACCUGAGAUAUGGGAGGAUACCAUGGGUAGUGUUGACAUUUUAGUGGCUGGAAUUGGAACUGGUGGUACCAUUACUGGCACUGGUCGAUACCUAAAUAUGAGAAAAGAAACAAUUCAGAUAGUUGGUGUAGAACCUGCAGAAAGAAGUAUAAUCUCUGGAGAAAAUGCCGGUUAUGUGCCCCCUAUUCUGGAUAUCAAGUUGCUUGAUGAGGUGAUCAAGGUAAUUACUUCCUUUCAAAGGUAACCAAUGAUGAAGCUAUAGAAAUGGCCAGGAGAUUAGCAUUGGAGGAAGGCCUACUGGUUGGCAUUUCAUCAGGAGCUGCUGCAGUUGCAGCGAUAAGUUUGGCAAGAAGGCCUGAAAACGCGGGGAAACUUAUUGUGGUUAUCUUUCCAAGUUAUGGUGAGAGAUACUUAUCGUCGGUACUUUUUCGUUCUAUAUAUGAAGAAGCUAAGAGAAUGUAGACAAGGUACAUUUUUUCAAGGCACAAGUAUCAUAAAAUAGAGUUGUACAUCAGGCAUAAUUGCAUCUAUAUUAGAUAAACAACCCUUGUUCCGAAGUAAAAAAGGGUGUGGAAUAAGGGCUUAAAAUGCGAAGGAAAAUGGUGUAAUAUUAUGAACUACAAUCGAUACCUCACAAAGUGCCAAUAGAAGUAUAGGGUAGGCACAUCUAAUCAUCUAGCCAUUUUGUGGUAAGUUUUGCCGUUCUUAUCGAUAAUCUUAAUAAGGACGUGUUUGGCUCAACUAGAGUAACUGAGGGUGUGGAGUUGAAGUCCACUCCUUGUAUUGAUCCAAGGAGUUCUUAGACAUCAAUUUCAAUUUGUUAGUCAUUUACAUCAUAGAUUCUACGACUAAACAACUCCCAUACUAAACGAUCUCUGUUCCUUGCUCCAGUAUCCAAUAGAAAAUAUUAAUCAUAUAUUUAUUGAA
This is an RNA transcript of Cucumis sativus (cucumber), 1686 nucleotides long. It is a transcript of the gene named S-sulfo-L-cysteine synthase (O-acetyl-L-serine-dependent), chloroplastic, with no coding region annotated. Lineage: Eukaryota; Viridiplantae; Streptophyta; Magnoliopsida; Cucurbitales; Cucurbitaceae. The record is from RefSeq and is a predicted model, not a curated record. The transcript has 11 exons.